RNAcentral lists this ribosomal RNA (314 nucleotides) under uncultured soil bacterium. RNAcentral describes it as "bacterial SSU rRNA". It matches the Rfam family "Bacterial small subunit ribosomal RNA", at positions 26 to 340 of the family's 1533-position model. The record is from RNAcentral.
AGGACGAACGCUGGCGGCGUGCUUAACACAUGCAAGUCGAGCGGUAAGGCCUUUCGGGGUACACGAGCGGCGAACGGGUGAGUAACACGUGGGUGAUCUGCCCUGCACUUCGGGAUAAGCCUGGGAAACUGGGUCUAAUACCGGAUAUGACUUCAGGUUGCAUGACUUGGGGUGGAAAGAUUUAUCGGUGCAGGAUGGGCCCGCGGCCUAUCAGCUUGUUGGUGGGUAAUGGCCUACCGAAGGCGACGACGGGUAGCCGACGUGAGAGGGUGGACCGGCCGACACGUGGGACUGAGACACCGGCCCAGACUCCG